UACGGGGGGGGCAAGCGUUGUUCGGAUUUACUGGGCGUAAAGGGCGCGUAGGCGGCCACCGCAAGUCGACUGUGAAAUCUCCGGGCUUAACCCGGAAAGGUCAGCCGAUACUGCGGGGCUAGAGUGCAGAAGGGGCAACUGGAAUUCUCGGUGUAGCGGUGAAAUGCGUAGAUAUCGAGAGGAACACCUGCGGCGAAGGCGGGUUGCUGGGCUGACACUGACGCUGAGGCGCGAAAGCGUGGGGAGCAAACAGG
RNAcentral lists this ribosomal RNA (254 nucleotides) under uncultured bacterium. RNAcentral describes it as "partial 16S ribosomal RNA". It matches the Rfam family "Bacterial small subunit ribosomal RNA", at positions 524 to 776 of the family's 1533-position model. The record is from RNAcentral.